This 489-nucleotide ribosomal RNA is filed under the name uncultured bacterium. RNAcentral describes it as "bacterial SSU rRNA". It matches the Rfam family "Bacterial small subunit ribosomal RNA", at positions 8 to 507 of the family's 1533-position model. The record is from RNAcentral.
AGAGUUUGAUCCUGGCUCAGGAUGAACGCUGGUGGCAUGCCUAACACAUGCAAGUCGAACGGACCUUUAUUUUUGAGAGUUCCUUAUAGAAAUUCUCAAAAUACUGGUUAGUGGCGGACGGGUGAGUAACACGUUGGUACCUACCCUCUAGUGGGGAAUAACUUCGAGAAAUCGAGGCUAAUACCGCAUGUGGUCUACGGAUCAAAGCAGUAAUGCGCUAGAGGAGGGGCCUGCGUCUGAUUAGCUUGUUGGUGAGGUAAAAGCUCACCAAGGCGACGAUCAGUAGCUGGAUCGAGAGGUUGACCAGCCACACUGGGACUGAGAUACGGCCCAGACUCCUACGGGAGGCAGCAGUGAGGAAUCUUCCACAAUGGACGAAAGUCUGAUGGAGCAAUGCCGCGUGCAGGAUGACGGCCUUCGGGUUGUAAACUGCUUUUAUAUGGGAAGAUUAUGACGGUACCAUAUGAAUAAGGACCGGCUAACUACGUG